AUAUUGGACAAUGGGCGAAAGCCGGAUCCUGCUAUGCCGCGUGUGUGAAGAAGUACAUCGGAUAGUAAAGUACUUUGUGUGGGGAGGAAUGGCAGUAAGCUACUACCUUGCUGUUUUGACGAUAGCGACAGUAUAAGCACCGGCUCACUUCGUGUCAGCAGCCGCGGUAAUACGAAGGAUGCAAGCGUUAAUCGGAAUUACUGGGCGUAAAGCGCGCGUAGGUGGUUUGUUAAGUUGGAAGUGAAAGCCCCGGGCUCAACCUGGGAACUGCUUUCAAAACUGGCAAGCUAGAGUAUGGCAGAGGGUGGUGGAAUUUCCUGUGUAGCGGUGAAAUGCGUAGAUAUAGGAAGGAACACCAGUGGCGAAGGCGACCACCUGGGCUAAUACUGACACUGAGGUGCGAAAGCGUGGGGAGCAAAC
Molecule: ribosomal RNA, 420 nt
Filed under: uncultured bacterium
Lineage: Bacteria
Description: partial 16S ribosomal RNA
Rfam family: Bacterial small subunit ribosomal RNA
Source: RNAcentral